AGGGUUCGAUUAUGGCUCAGAACGUACGCUGGCGGCACGCCUAAUACAUGCAAGUCGAACGAAGUAGCAAUACUUAGUGGCAGACGGGUGAGUAACAUGUAGGUAUCUACCCUAUGGUGAAGAAUAACAUGAGGAAACUUAUGCUAAUACUUCAUAAGUCUUUACGGAGAAAGCUUUAUGCGCCAUUGGAUGAGCCUGCACUUGAUUAGUUUGUUGGUGGGGUAAAGGCCUACCAAGACUGUGAUCAAUAGCUGAUUUGAGAGGAUGAUCAGCCACAUUGGGACUGAGACACGGCCCAAACUCCUACGGGAGGCAGCAGUAGGGAAUCUUGCACAAUGGGGGAAACCCUGAUGCAGCGAUGCCGCGUGAGUGAAGAAGGCCCUUGGGUUGUAAAGCUCUUUCGUCGGGGAAGAAAAUGACUGUACCCGAAUAAGAAGGUCCGGCUAACUUCGUGCCAGCCGCCGCGGUAAUAC
Molecule: ribosomal RNA, 473 nt
Filed under: uncultured bacterium
Lineage: Bacteria
Description: bacterial SSU rRNA
Rfam family: Bacterial small subunit ribosomal RNA
Source: RNAcentral